Molecule: long non-coding RNA, 277 nt
Filed under: Glycine max (soybean)
Lineage: Eukaryota; Viridiplantae; Streptophyta; Magnoliopsida; Fabales; Fabaceae
Description: long non-coding RNA (GMAX_LNC003894)
Source: RNAcentral
AAUAGUUAAUUUGUUAUUGGGUAUUUAAUAAAGAUGGUAGGACAAUUUCGUUUGCUAACAUGUUUCAACCGAUGUUAGUUAAUGAUGUUAACAAAAGAGGGUAAAAGUAAUGUAAAAAAAAGGGAGAAAUAUUAUGUGCAAUUAGAAAAACACAUAGGGUGCAUGUGAAACAAAGAUGUUACGAAAAUUUCGUAUGUUCACAUAUUUCAGUUUACGUAGUUAAUGAAGUUGACGAAAGGAGAUAAAAGUAAUGUAAAAAAAGAGAGGGGUAUCGAGU